GACGAACGCUGGCGGCGUGCUUAACACAUGCAAGUCGAACGGAAAGGCCCUGCUUUUGUGGGGUGCUCGAGUGGCGAACGGGUGAGUAACACGUGAGUAACCUGCCCUUGACUUUGGGAUAACUUCAGGAAACUGGGGCUAAUACCGGAUAGGAGCUCCUGCUGCCUGGUGGGGGGUGGAAAGUUUCGGCGGUUGGGGAUGGACUCGCGGCUUAUCAGCUUGUUGGUGGGGUAGUGGCUUACCAAGGCUUUGACGGGUAGCCGGCCUGAGAGGGUGACCGGCCACAUUGGGACUGAGAUACGGCCCAGACUCCUACGGGAGGCAGCAGUGGGGAAUAUUGCACAAUGGGCGGAAGCCUGAUGCAGCAACGCCGCGUGCGGGAUGACGGCCUUCGGGUUGUAAACCGCUUUCGCCUGUGACGAAGCGUGAGUGACGGUAAUGGGUAAAGAAGCACCGGCUAACUACGUG
RNAcentral lists this ribosomal RNA (468 nucleotides) under uncultured bacterium. Its description in RNAcentral is "partial 16S ribosomal RNA". It matches the Rfam family "Bacterial small subunit ribosomal RNA", at positions 28 to 507 of the family's 1533-position model. The record is from RNAcentral.